GACAGUGAUCAUUUUUUUGAAGAUGUUGAUGGUGCCAAGAAAGAAGCAAAAACCUCAGGUGCUCAAUGGGACGUUUUCAGCAGAGAAGAUGUCCCAAAGCUUCUAGAGUACCUCAAAAGGCAUUCUAGCGAGUUCACCUCAAUGCGUGGUUAUUCCAAACAAGUUGUUCACCCAAUUCUUGAUCAAAGUUUCUUCUUUGAUGCAUUCCACAAAAUGAGGCUUAAGGAGGAAUUCGAUGUUCAACCUUGGAC
RNAcentral lists this unclassified non-coding RNA (251 nucleotides) under Hevea brasiliensis (rubber tree). Lineage: Eukaryota; Viridiplantae; Streptophyta; Magnoliopsida; Malpighiales; Euphorbiaceae. The record is from RNAcentral.